RNAcentral lists this ribosomal RNA (497 nucleotides) under uncultured bacterium. RNAcentral describes it as "partial 16S ribosomal RNA". It matches the Rfam family "Bacterial small subunit ribosomal RNA", at positions 28 to 507 of the family's 1533-position model. The record is from RNAcentral.
GAUGAACGCUGGCGGCGUGCCUAAUACAUGCAAGUCGAGCGAACAGACGAGGAGCUUGCUCCUCUGACGUUAGCGGCGGACGGGUGAGUAACACGUGGAUAACCUACCUAUAAGACUGGGAUAACUUCGGGAAACCGGAGCUAAUACCGGAUAAUAUAUUGAACCGCAUGGUUCAAUAGUGAAAGACGGUUUUGCUGUCACUUAUAGAUGGAUCCGCGCCGCAUUAGCUAGUUGGUAAGGUAACGGCUUACCAAGGCAACGAUGCGUAGCCGACCUGAGAGGGUGAACGGCCACACUGGAACUGAGAAACGGUCCAGACUCCUAAGGGAGGCAGCAGUAGGGAAUCUUCAGCAAUGGGCGAAAGCCUGACGGAGCAACGCCGCGUGAGUGAUGAAGGUCUUCGGAUCGUAAAACUCUGUUAUUAGGGAAGAACAAAUGUGUAAGUAACUAUGCACGUCUUGACGGUACCUAAUCAGAAAGCCACGGCUAACUACGUG